GGGGAAUAUUGGACAAUGGGGGGAACCCUGAUCCAGCCAUGCCGCGUGUGUGAAGAAGGCCUUUUGGUUGUAAAGCACUUUAAGCGAGGAGGAGGCUACUUAGAUUAAUACUCUGAGAUAGUGGACGUUACUCGCAGAAUAAGCACCGGCUAACUCUGUGCCAGCAGCCGCGGUAAUACAGAGGGUGCGAGCGUUAAUCGGAUUUACUGGGCGUAAAGCGUGCGUAGGCGGCUGAUUAAGUCGGAUGUGAAAUCCCUGAGCUUAACUUAGGAAUUGCAUUCGAUACUGGUCAGCUAGAGUAUGGGAGAGGAUGGUAGAAUUCCAGGUGUAGCGGUGAAAUGCGUAGAGAUCUGGAGGAAUACCGAUGGCGAAGGCAGCCAUCUGGCCUAAUACUGACGCUGAGGUACGAAAGCAUGGGGAGCAAAC
Molecule: ribosomal RNA, 426 nt
Filed under: uncultured bacterium
Lineage: Bacteria
Description: bacterial SSU rRNA
Rfam family: Bacterial small subunit ribosomal RNA
Source: RNAcentral